Arachis stenosperma is the source of this 1908-nucleotide RNA transcript. It is a transcript of the gene named disease resistance protein RML1A-like, with no coding region annotated. The transcript is spliced from 3 exons. Lineage: Eukaryota; Viridiplantae; Streptophyta; Magnoliopsida; Fabales; Fabaceae. The record is from RefSeq and is a predicted model, not a curated record.
AUAUUAGAUGUAUAAUAAUUUAUAAAAUUAAAAUAAGUGAGAGUGUAACACAUUAAACAAUAAAACAACACUUUUUUUCAUUCGCUAGUCAUGUAUCGGAUAAAACAACCCAUCUGAUAGAAAAAAUAUAUAUGGACAAUAAAAAUAUUAAACAAUAUGAAUAAUGGAUAUAUUGGAUAUUUAAUUUAUUAGGUAUGCAGAUGAUUAUUCUAAAAUUAAGAUUUAUGAGGUAAUUUAGGAUGAAGUAUUUUUUUAUUUUAUUAGAUCAAUUUUAAAAUUCAUUAUUCACAUUAUUUAAAAAUGUUAUUGUUUAUCUAACAAAACCCUAUGUGUUAACAUGUUUUUGGGAUUGACAGAAUUUACCAAAUUUGGAGUUUAUUGACCUCCAGGGCUGCAAACGCUUGAUAGAGUGCCCAAAUUUAGCAGGUAACACGAAUCUCAAAUCAAUAUUACUCUCUGGCUGUGAAAGCUUACAAGAUGUUCAUCCAUCUAUUUUCUCUCUCCCCAAGAUUGAAAAACUAUAUGUGAGCUAUUGCACAUCGUUAAAGAGACUUUGCAGUGACUAUUGUUCUCCCUCUCUCCAUAGCUUGUCGGCCAUUUAUUGCUCCAAUUUGGAAGAGUUCUCAAUCCCCAUGAUGACUCAUCAUUCCGAAAUCAACCUAUGUUUACCAUCAACGGCUUUGAAUGAAGUGCCAUCUACUAUUAUGCAUCUCAAAAAUCUUGAGUGUUUUUUUUCUAACAUCAGUUACUCUCUUGAGAAACUUCCUCAAAACUUUGCCUCCAAAAUUGCACUCAUGGAUCCAAUAAAACAUGAAGAUGACACAUGCAUCAUCUUAAGUAGAAUAUUGCCCACCCCUGCCUUCUUGUCUCUCAAGGAAUUAAUUUUCUUCGAAUGUAAGAGGUUGUCUAAACUCCCAAACAACAUUCAUGUCUUACAAUCAUUACAAGUAUUACAACUGCGAAGUUGUCAUGUCAUUACAAGUUUGCCAAAAAGCAUUAAAAAUCUUCAACAGCUCUUACAUCUUCAGAUCGUUGAUUGUGUAAUGCUUCAAUACAUUCCUCCACUUCCCCCAUCAAUUAUAUACUUUCAAGCAGAAAACUGCAAAUCUUUGGAGGCAGUCUCAAGUUUAACAAGUGAACCACCCAGAGAAUACUAUGCAUGGUUUAUAUUCCAUAACUGCACAAAGUUGGAUGAUGAUGCAUAUGAAGCCGUUUUGAAAGACUUGAAAUCCAAGAUACAACUUGUGGUAAAUAAUGAUGGAUAUCUGCAUAAUGAAGCAAACAAUGAGAAGCUUCGAUCACUAUUGAAGUUGCUUCAGAUCACAAGAUUUCUUCUUGUCUUGUUGUCUGCAUCUUGAUUUCUAAAUACUCAUCAUGCAUCCUUACCGGGAAAGAAGUGAUAUUUAGAUGGGAAUGCUACUUGGGAAAGGGUUGCAACGAAUGGGAAUGGAUAGCAACUAUUGCCAAGAGGGUAGUCUUGGUCACCUAUGUUCCCGAUGUUUGGAUUCCUCAAUGGGAAACAUUAUCAGAUCAUAAGGUAGUGUGGUAUGAUGGAGAGUGUUCCAACAAGAUAACAGAAGCAAUCAAAGAGAGAAAGAGGGACAGCAGUUGUAAUACUAUGCUUAAAUUUGAGUUCUAUGCAAAUACAGAAGAUAAUGAGGAAGUAGUGAUAAAGGGGUGUGGGAUCCGUUGGAUGCAUGUCCAUGUCAAUCAUGAUGGAGAGAUUACUCCAGAUGCCACUCAUGAGGGCUAUGAAUCUCAUGACGUUGAGAGAAGAACAUAUCAUAUGAGAACUCCAUCCAACAAGAAAAGCUUCUCUGGGAAACACCUGUACUUCCUUUUGUUUAUUAUUGUUGUAGCAGUUAUCUAUUUGGUCACUUUAUAGCACACUUUCUCUGAGAACAUACC